UGAACGUGUCCUGAAAGUAGUUGG
This 24-nucleotide non-coding RNA is filed under the name Drosophila melanogaster (fruit fly). Lineage: Eukaryota; Metazoa; Arthropoda; Insecta; Diptera; Drosophilidae. The record is from RNAcentral.